GUGCUUGCUUCAGCAGCACAUAUACUAAAACUGGAACAAUACAGAAAUUAGCAUGGCCCCUGAGCAAAGAUAGCAUACAAAUUCAUGAAGUGUUCAAUAUUUUA
RNAcentral lists this small nuclear RNA (104 nucleotides) under Castor canadensis (American beaver). Lineage: Eukaryota; Metazoa; Chordata; Mammalia; Rodentia; Castoridae. The record is from RNAcentral.